UGCUGUUGUAUUUCUGAUAAUCAUUUCCCGACCUCCUCAGACACAACUUCUCCAUCAACUGAACCUUCAGGAUGUCCUUCUUCUUCAGACAUUUGACGCUGAUGUUUGUGCUUCUGCGUGGACUCUCAGCAGAUGAUGGUGUGUCACUAAACUGUACCCGAACAGUGGAAGUUACAUAUGAAGAGGAUCUGACUCUUAGUUGUGACAUUGAAUGGAAACAAGCUGAUUGCCAGUAUGAAAACAUUUCAGUUAAGUGGAUCCACACAACAGAAAACCUCUGUGAGAAGAACAAAUGUGAAAAAAACAAAACCUCUGCCUCACUACAAAUGUUUAAUGUCAUCGAGGAGAAGAACAUCAGCGUUAGCAUUAGAGCUAAUUGCGGCACGGAUUCUGUCAGUAUCAGCCUGAAGAUCAAACCUGAAUUUGGAGUUGAGCCGUCAAUCAGAGCCCCCGAAAAAAACCAUCAAACAACUGCAUCAACUACCGUGCGAUCAGUGAGGGAAAAAGUGAUUCCCAUCUCACUCGCUGCUGUCUCUGCAGUCAUUAUUGCAGUGGUUGGAUUUGGUUUGUAUCGAAAUAAAUCAAAGCAACAUCAGAGAGUCCUGGAAAUGGAACCGGUCUGACAGUUUCCUGACAGCUGAAAGAAAAAAAAGAGAUGAAGGAGCCCCGAUGCACGAGUGGGGCUCAAGGCAUCAUACAGACAUGUUGGACAAAUCCCGGCAGGUCAGGUUGGGUUGUCCCCAAAGUCAGGACAGAUUCCUGCAGAACACGAGGAGAAGAUGCUGAAGAAACGGCAUCUGCUGGAAGUUUUAUUUUUUAUGGUUCCAGGAUUCUUUCUACACAGACAAAAAGAGCAAAGCUUUAUUUAUGGAUUCAAGAAGAAAAGUGUUUCAGUAAACUUUUUGUUUUUAUUUUUAUAUAUUUUGUGACUCAUUUGUAUAAAUUCAGUUUUUGAAAUGUCAAAUGAUAAAAGCACGCUGUGAUCAUAUCAUUUAGGGGUUUCUUUCAUUCUGAUUAUGAUAAGGUUGGUUCUGUUUUGUGUAGUACAUUCGUGUUUUUGUGACGCCCCUUUAAAUUAAUCCAUCUGUAGAUUUUAUUCUCAAAAGUUUUUAUAGUGAAUUUUGUAUUUGCAGGCCAAGCUUUGUGGCGACAUUAAGUGGGUUUCACUGCCCUCUAGUGGUGAAUCUCAGUAGCUGCAGGGACUUUUUAAAAUAGUUAAAAUGAGCAAAUCUAUUUGAAAACGUUGAUUUGAUACCUCAAAUCUUAUAAACAAAAAAAUCGUAUUAUGUUUUGUUGAUGUUAUAUCUUUUUAUGUACAUCAUGUAAGGUUUUCUGUAUAUCAGCCGCUGGUUUUCUAAUAAAAACAUGUCAGGCCAAGAAAAGAUUGGUGGAUAACAUGAA
Molecule: long non-coding RNA, 1401 nt
Organism: Oryzias latipes (Japanese medaka)
Lineage: Eukaryota; Metazoa; Chordata; Actinopteri; Beloniformes; Adrianichthyidae
Source: RefSeq, a predicted model, not a curated record